GAUUAUGGCUCAGGACGAACGCUGGCGGCGUGCUUAACACAUGCAAGUCGAACGGGGAUAGCGUUGGAAGUCCUUCGGGGUGGAAGAUGCUAUUCGAGUGGCGGACGGGUGAGUAACGCGUGAACAAUCUGUCCCAGACAGGGGGAUAACACUUGGAAACAGGUGCUAAUACCGCAUAAGACCACGGUGUCGCAUGGCACAGGGGUAAAAGGAGCGAUCCGGUUUGGGGUGAGUUCGCGUCCGAUUAGCCAGUUGGCGGGGUAACGGCCCACCAAAGCGACGAUCGGUAGCCGAUCUGAGAGGAUGACCGGCCACAUUGGAACUGAGAGACGGUCCAAACUCCUACGGGAGGCAGCAGUGGGGAAUAUUGGGCAAUGGGCGAAAAAGCCUGACCCAGCAACGCCGCGUGAGUGAAGAAGGCCUUCGGGUUGUAAAGCUCUGUUAUAGGGGACGAAGGAAGUGACGGUACCCUAUAAGGAAGCCCCGGCUAACUACGUGCCAGCAGCGGC
This 509-nucleotide ribosomal RNA is filed under the name uncultured bacterium. Its description in RNAcentral is "bacterial SSU rRNA". It matches the Rfam family "Bacterial small subunit ribosomal RNA", at positions 15 to 518 of the family's 1533-position model. The record is from RNAcentral.